This 392-nucleotide ribosomal RNA is filed under the name uncultured Cladosporium. Its description in RNAcentral is "eukaryotic LSU rRNA". The stretch from base 45 to 198 matches the Rfam family "5.8S ribosomal RNA". The record is from RNAcentral. Lineage: Eukaryota; Fungi; Ascomycota; Dothideomycetes; Cladosporiales; Cladosporiaceae.
CUUGCGUAACUUUGGAGUCUGAGUAAACUUAAUUAAUAAAUUAAAACUUUUAACAACGGAUCUCUUGGUUCUGGCAUCGAUGAAGAACGCAGCGAAAUGCGAUAAGUAAUGUGAAUUGGAGAAUUCAGUGAAUCAUCGAAUCUUUGAACGCACAUUGCGCCCCCUGGUAUUCCGGGGGGCAUGCCUGUUCGAGCGUCAUUUCACCACUCAAGCCUCGCUUGGUAUUGGGCAACGCGGUCCGCCGGUGCCUCAAAUCGACCGGCUGGGUCUUCUGUCCCCUAAGCGUUGUGGAAACUAUUCGCUAAAGGGUGUUCGGGAGGCUACGCCGUAAAACAACCCCAUUUCUAAGGUUGACCUCGGAUCAGGUAGGGAUACCCGCUGAACUUAAGCAU